Molecule: long non-coding RNA, 660 nt
Organism: Mustela erminea (ermine)
Lineage: Eukaryota; Metazoa; Chordata; Mammalia; Carnivora; Mustelidae
Exons: 6
Source: RefSeq, a predicted model, not a curated record
ACUGCAUUCACCUCUCACGAUAGUGACGUCAAGUCAUCGAGGUGAAUCACUAUCCCAGAAUAAACUGUGUAUAACCGGAAGACAUUAUGACAACUGAGAUUCCACUGCUAUUUGUUUAUGAGUUUCCCAGAGUGCCUGGCACCGUACGUGGCCCUAAGUACACACUAAAUAAAAUUUGGUUGAACUAAAAGGAAUGAGACUGAACUAAGCAUGUCUUCAGUUGGAUUCUCCAGGAAUCGGACUCUGAGGCAGUGUUCACAGGCAGGUAGUUUGUUAAUAGUAUGUUGAAGAAUCCACCGCUGCAGGGGAGCAGGAAGAUACAUACCAAGGAAAAUGAUGAAUCCCCUGGGACUGUCUUGAGACCUUCACUUGGGAUUUAGAAACUCCAGUUACUUGGCUGUGGAGUCAGAACUCAUAGAGGUGACCACCACUGGGUAGAAACUCUGGGAGAACUUUCCAAAAGGUUUCUUGUUACUAGAAGCCUUUUGCCCCUCUGCCCCUCCCUCUUCUUCUGGACUAGGACACAGAUGCUGUGCUUGGAUGGGCAGCAGCCAUCUUGCAGCAACGAGGAUAAAUGUCCCACCUCUGGACUCCUAAGGACAGGAAUGACUGCCUACUACAAAACUGUUCCAUGAGAGAAAUAAACCUUUUGAUCGUUUA